Molecule: long non-coding RNA, 2199 nt
Organism: Lemur catta (Ring-tailed lemur)
Lineage: Eukaryota; Metazoa; Chordata; Mammalia; Primates; Lemuridae
Exons: 3
Source: RefSeq, a predicted model, not a curated record
UCCAAACCAUUCUUCCCUGAGCUAAAGAGUAGAUUUCAGAAAUGGGUUUCAAUAGUGGUAUUCCUGAAAGAUUUUCAUCCUUAGGUGGAUCUCUCUCUCUUUUUUUCUCUCUCUCCUCCUCCCUACCACCCCACCCCACUGUUCCUUAUUUUCCCAGGUAAUGUUAUACUCUUCUUUAAAAUGAUUACUUAAAAGAAGACUCCUGUAUCUGCUCAGCAUGAACAACCAAAAGGCGGAAGCUCCAGUCCUCACAAAGACUGGUUGUCCAGCCUCUGCAUUUAUGAGAGACCUGAGUGACCCUCAGUCCGGUUCAAACUGCUUCUCUCCGCGUACGGACCUUAGGAGCCAUUCUUUCCUCCUGGCGCGAUACUGGACUGCGAAGCCUCCCCUGAGGAGACCAGAAGUCCGUUUGCUACUGGAAAGCACUCAGCAUCCUCCCCGCGGAUGUAGCCCUGUCCGGGUUAAGGCGUUGGCUGGUCCACUUCGACCGGAGGAAGAACGUGGAAGAGAAGACCGCCUGCGUUUUUUCCCCGCCGGGCUGCCCAGCACCUGUGAGCUCCCCGCUGCGCCUCGGGCCUGGCUGCCUUUGUUUCUUCGGCCUACAGCGCUGGGCAGCCCCUGAGCCCUCGGCCUGCCUCCGCAGCAGCUGGGAACCAGGCAGCCCAGCGGGCCCGCGGCAAGACGUUACCAGAGCUGCCGCCGGGACCCCAGCCGCCGUCCGGAGAAUUCGAGCUUCCAGGCGAGCCGCCUUGCCAGGCCCCAACGCCGGACCCGGAGCUGGUGGGCUGCCGCGCACAGCCUGCUCCGCCAGCUCGCCUCUGCCUAAAUUCCACGCAGACCCUCGACUUGGGCCAAAGAUCCCCUUCUAAACACAGAUAUUAUUCAGAAUAAAAACUUUAUUUUUUGUUUUGUUUCUCAGAAUGUGAGCAGCAAGGAUUGUAGAACUCUCAAAACAAAUCUAGCAUUUUUCGCGCUUACAGACUGUUUUUUCAUUUUUGCCGGAUGUUACAAACCUAAACCACUGUUUUCAAAAGCUGGAUCCUCUCUGGUUUUAUUGCAUCAUUACCGUUUUUAUACAGGAAUUAUAUUUCCCUUUCAAAUAAAAAAAUUUUCUAUGUACGCCAACACACCAUUGAACAAAAGGCCCAAGAACCCUUCUGAACAAUCAGGGUACAGAAUUUCUUUAAUAUAAAUACAAACGGAUGGGGAUAAAUAAUAUUUAAAACUUAGAUUAUUCAAUGCUUGCAAAAAAUAUAAAUAAAUCUGACUGUUCACCAGCAUACACACACGGAAAGACGUACACUUAAUCAUCCUUGCACAGGGAGCCCCUGUUUCAAAGCGCCUUUGAUUUUUUUUCUCGCUCUUUACAAGAAGUGCAAUUUAAAAAAACUAAAAAUUAAAAAAAAAAGUAAUCGCUUCCCCUCGGGAGCCAUAAUGUACGAACAAAUUCACAUUGAAAAUUCGACUAGAAAAUUUGUUCAUAUACCCUGUUUCUGAUCAAAGAGUGGAGAAGGUAAAGGGUGCAGGGCCAGCGGCCAAGCUAGGGGCGGGAAGAGAUAAAUAUCGCUACUGAUACUGACAGCCAUUCCAGCAACCAAGAUUGCUACGUCACAUAAACUAUAAAAACGCGUUACCAAAGUGGGGGGGGCGCAGCGACGGGAAAGGGAGUGAGUGGGGGGGAGCAGAGAGAGGAGAGAGAAAACGGAAGGGCAGGAAGAACCUUAAAAAAAAAAAAAAAGCAACCAAAGAAGAAGGGGUGGGGGGGGGAGACUCUCCUGGCGCAUAGCCCCGAGCCCACCAUCACAGGGAAGAAGAAAGUUGGGGUGUCCCUUCCUCUCCGCUCUUUGGCCUCCUCCGGAGAGCCUCCUUCUGAGGAUCUUGGUAAGGGGCAAGGAGGCAAAGGGGUGCUUGGGUCGUCAGUUUUGUCUCCACUUUAAGACUCCUAUUUCCCAGAAGAACGGGGUGACUUCCCACCUAGCCCCUUCUUGGACUUUCCUGCCCCCAAGAGCGAAGUUUGCACAAAAAAAUUCAGACAAUUGCCCUAUCUGACCAUGCUGGAUUUCAGAAGCUGAGGUUGUUAGGCACUUAAUCCACCCUUGUUCAGGAAUAUGACCCAUCUCCUCCAAAUGAGCCCCUUGUGGCCAAGGAGGUGGGGAGAAAAAAACUCUGGGUGGAACACAUUUGUGUGUGUGUGUGUGU